RNAcentral lists this ribosomal RNA (799 nucleotides) under uncultured bacterium. RNAcentral describes it as "bacterial SSU rRNA". It matches the Rfam family "Bacterial small subunit ribosomal RNA", at positions 59 to 825 of the family's 1533-position model. The record is from RNAcentral.
CAGUCGAACGAAACUUCUUUAUCACCGAGUGCUUGCACUCACCGAUAAAGAGUUGAGUGGCGAACGGGUGAGUAACACGUGGGCAACCUGCCCAAAAGAGGGGGAUAACACUUGGAAACAGGUGCUAAUACCGCAUAACCAUAGUUACCGCAUGGUAACUAUGUAAAAGGUGGCUAUACUACCGCUUUUGGAUGGGCCCGCGGCGCAUUAGCUAGUUGGUAGGGUAAAGGCUUACCAAGGCAAUGAUGCGUAGCCGAAUUGAGAGGUUGAUCGGCCACAUUGGGACUGAGACACGGCCCAAACUCCUACGGGAGGCAGCAGUAGGGAAUCUUCCACAAUGGGCGAAAGCCUGAUGGAGCAACGCCGCGUGGGUGAAGAAGGUCUUCGGAUCGUAAAACCCUGUUGUUAGAGAAGAAAGUGCGUGAGAGUAACUGUUCACGUUUCGACGGUAUCUAACCAGAAAGCCACGGCUAACUACGUGCCAGCAGCCGCGGUAAUACGUAGGUGGCAAGCGUUAUCCGGAUUUAUUGGGCGUAAAGGGAACGCAGGCGGUCUUUUAAGUCUGAUGUGAAAGCCUUCGGCUUAACCGGAGUAGUGCAUUGGAAACUGGGAGACUUGAGUGCAGAAGAGGAGAGUGGAACUCCAUGUGUAGCGGUGAAAUGCGUAGAUAUAUGGAAGAACACCAGUGGCGAAAGCGGCUCUCUGGUCUGUAACUGACGCUGAGGUUCGAAAGCGUGGGUAGCAAACAGGAUUAGAUACCCUGGUAGUCCACGCCGUAAACGAUGAAUGCUAAGUGUUG